GGGCCGCUAGCUCAGUUGGUUAGAGCAGCUGACUGUUAGUCAGCGGGUCCGGGGUUCGUGUCCCUGGCGGCGCA
RNAcentral lists this transfer RNA (74 nucleotides) under Saccharothrix sp. ST-888. It matches the Rfam family "tRNA". From Rfam's summary of the family: Transfer RNA (tRNA) molecules are approximately 80 nucleotides in length. Lineage: Bacteria; Bacillati; Actinomycetota; Actinomycetes; Pseudonocardiales; Pseudonocardiaceae. The record is from Rfam by way of RNAcentral.